CCAUUGGAGGACAAGUCUGGUGCCAGCACCCGCGGUAAUUCCAGCUCCAAUAGCGUAUAUUAAAGUUGUUGCAGUUAAAAAGCUCGUAGUUGGAUUUGAAACGACGUAACUGGCUGAGAGGAUGGUUGGACCUUUACAGCUCUAGGUUGCUCGUUCUACGUCCGGUGGUGGUUGACUGGUCUUAACUGGCUGGUUAAUUGCUUCGGACCGUUUACCUUGAAUAAAUUAGGGUGUUCAAAGCAGGCUUAAGUAAGCCUUGAAUAGUUUAGCAUGGGAUAAUGGAAUACGACCCUCGCCUAGUUCGUUGGUAACCUGGGCGAGGGUAAUGAUAAAUAGGGAUUGUCGGGGUCAUUCAUAUUCAAUUGUUAGAGGUGAAAUUCUUAGAUUCUUUGAAGAUGAACUGAAGCGAAAGCGUUUGACAAGGAUGCUCCCAUUGAUCAAGAACGAAAGUUAGGGGAUCGAAGACGAUCAGAUACCGUCGUAGUCUUAACUAUAAACGAUACGAAUCGAGGAUUGGGAGACGUUAAUCGUACGACUCAUUCAGAACUCUAAGGGAAACCUUUGAAUUUUUACGUUCUGGGGGGAGUAUGGUCGCAAGGCUGAAACUUAAAGGAAUUGACGGAAGGGCACACCAGGAGUGGAGCCUGCGGCUUAAUUUGACAACACGGGAAAACUUACCAAGUCCAGACACAGUAAGGAUUGACAGAUUGAGAGCUCUUUCUUGAUUCUGUGGGUGGUGGUGCAUGGCCGUUCUUAGUUGGUGGAAUGGUCUGUCUGGUUAAUUCCGAUAACGAACGAGAUCUCUGCCUAUUAAAUAGGCGAGCUCAACGUCUACCGGGUGAAGCUGGUUGGUGCUGGGGACGGUUUACCGGACCCGAUCGGCUGGUGGAUCCUUGACGUAUGGGCUAGACUUCUUAGAGGGACUAAGGAUGUUUAAUCCUUGGAAGUUAGAGGCAAUAACAGGUCUGUGAUGCCCUUAGAUGUCUUGGGCUGCACGCGCGCUACAAUGUGAGGUAUCAAUGAGUCCACCUAG
RNAcentral lists this ribosomal RNA (1033 nucleotides) under uncultured soil eukaryote. RNAcentral describes it as "SSU rRNA". It matches the Rfam family "Eukaryotic small subunit ribosomal RNA", at positions 545 to 1531 of the family's 1831-position model. The record is from RNAcentral.